Dermochelys coriacea (leatherback sea turtle) is the source of this 2994-nucleotide long non-coding RNA. RefSeq lists it as uncharacterized. Lineage: Eukaryota; Metazoa; Chordata; Testudines; Dermochelyidae. The record is from RefSeq and is a predicted model, not a curated record. The transcript has 4 exons.
CAAGAUACAGCAACACUGCAGUAGAUUUAGAUCCAAGAAGGGAAGAAAAGAUCACAAAGCAUUCUCUGCAGACCUAGGCAUUCGUCGUAGCAUCUUGUAUCCGAGUCUUCCACCAGCUCCUCCUGGUUUCUUAGUCUUACAGCUGGAUUGAUCCAUCUAAAGUGAGACACUAGAAAUCUCUCUGCACACACUGCUUCUUGAGUGAUGCUAGAGCAGACAUCAGUGGGUCCUGCUUCAGCACCUCCUCCAGCUGCAGCGAGCAUCGCGCUGGUGCUGCAAAUUGAUCCCAGUGCAGGGGGCUGCUGAGGUGUAGAGCACCAAGGGCUUGAGGAGAUGCAGGAGCAAACAGGAGGGAUAGAGCACAAAGCAGCUGCCUCUGUGGCUGGAGAGAAGAAGGGAACAGAACCAGCGAAGCAGCUUCUCCAGCACUGAUAAGGUGCCUUCCAGGCAAGGAUCCAACUCAUAGACCAGCUGAAGGAACCUACCCCCGGUGGGCAGUCCGGCCACCCCAUUUCACAGCAGCUAACACACCCAGGGGUGGCUCUUCCCUUGACUGCAGUUGCAGGGGAGGGAAUGUCCCCAGAGAGUUGGGUGGGAAUAACUCUGGCUGAAGGAGGGGCUGGAUCCCACUAGCGCGACACCCGGGAGGCCGGAAGAUGCUCACAAAGGGUGGCUGAGGGACCGAUUUCCCUGCCAUACUCUGAGACGCUUGCCUGACGUGCCGUGAGUGACGCCAGUCAGCCCCUGCCAUGGGCUGUGGUGGCAGCCGGCCGGAUGGCGUGGAGCUGAGGUACCAGGAGAACUGGACCAAAGAGAUGGAGUCUACCUGGCUGAUGAGCACAGAUGCCGACAUCCCGCUCUCCGCCCUCCAGACCAUCCCACUGGAGAGCUCCCCUGGGGCCACCUUUGGCAGGGGAAAGAGCACGAUUCGCUCAGGAGAUUUCUUUGAUGAUGGGUUUCCUAACCCAGCGCAGGCCACUUGAAAGUUUGCUCCGUGAUGUCUGAUUUGUCCUUGAAUGAAACCAAACCUCCAGCUGGUGGAAGUCAAGUAACCCACAAGCCAUUGAAUGGACUCUUGCCCUCUGGAACAACAGUGCAGAAAAAAAGUGUGCUCUGUUCUGAGGAGACCAAGUAGUGAUCCAACCACAUGGCCAGCAAGCAAGUCACCAUCAUGGUGAUGCAGAGCAUCCAGCAGAUCGACUCAUCAUGGAGACUCAUAGGGACCUCCUGCAUCACCUAUGGGCUGGCAAACCCUGUGGGGCAGAAAGGAAAAGCCUAAUGCCAAUCUUACGUCAAUGUUUGGGCUCUGACAGGCAUCUUGUGGGCUAGCAGCAAAGACCACCUGCCCUGACCCAGUAGGAGACACAUUAACACUCCUUCCAUCUUGAUAGGCUCCUAGAAUAAUCCCUCCCAGUGCUGUAUGCUUUGGUUCAGGUCCCCGGUGCCUACACAGCCCAUUGUGGUGUGUGUGGGGGGGGGCAUGUACACAGACUGCUAUUGAUCUCUUCGUAGCAGGGUUUAUUCCUAGCUAGCUGACUCCAUGAGACCCACUGCCUUUUGAAGGAGUCUCUGCAGAGCCCAAAGAUCUGAGGCGCUAGACAAGGCACCCCGCCCCACCCUGUUCCUGCCUAGGAAUGAUCCUUGGACGGAUGGACGAGAGGACAGAAUUGCACCAGCAAGCUCUGCUGCCAACAGCCGAGCACCACCGCGUGGUCAACUCUGCAGUUCUUCUCCUUGCAAGGGAUAUUUCUUGGGGAGGAGCCCCCCCAGGUUAAUCCUCCAUGCUGUUUGUUUCCCUUUGCAAAAGCAAGGAGAGUCUGUCCCCUUCCCCAAGAGAAUGGGGGCAGCUGGACACUGGCCUUCCACACACCAGAGGCUCCAGGACUGGGGACUCCAUUCUGCAUCACACGUCACUAGUAGCUAAAUUCUGGCUGCAAAGUCUACACUAGAGAGGAGAAUGCGAGAGAUGGACAGAACACAGCUGUUUUUUCAAAGCCCUGGUGGACACUGGCUUGUACGCUGAACCCACCCAGACUUUGAUGAUAAUUAUAGCACUUCCACAGAGCUGCUCUCCGAACUAGACCCACCUUUUAAUCUUUGCUAGUCAAUGCCUGUCUGUAACUGAGGUGCGAAAUGCUCAUUAGCACUCCCUCAGCCCUCUGGGACCAGAUCUGCCACUGGGGGAAUUUGGCUUACCUCCACUGCAGACAAUGAGGCUGGGCCAAUGUGCACCAGCUGAGACAGAAUGGCUGGCUUUUUCCACUCGGCAGUCAGUCACAGCUCUAUUAGGAUCUGCCCAGUGCCCUAGAGAAUGCUGGGUACUAGACAGAGAGAACAGGGAGAUGAAGGCUGGGGCUCUCAAAAGGAACUAAGGUCCCUCCCAGUGAAAUUCAACUCCCUUAGGCCCUUUGAAUCUCUCAGCCAAGGCCCCUGCCCCAAGCACCAUGCAAUCAAAGAGCUUGAUCCUGCAAUCGCUGUCCACCAAGCACAGUGCUUAAUGCUAUGAGGGGUCUCCUGAACAGUGUAGUGCUCCUGGAGUCAGGGUUUGCACAGCCAGCCCUAAGGUUCUCGAUGAGAGGUGGGGGCGUGGGAGUGCGGGUGGGGAAAGGAGAAUGAGGAUUGAUAUGGUAUGUUGGUGUGAUCCCUUAGGGCAGUAACGUGCAUGUCUUGGUUGGUCCAUUUGAAAGUGACUGUGGAUCAUAUAUGGAACUCCACCCAUUUGUAUCUGGGUGAGAGCGCCAGCUUCUGGGCAGCUGCUCCCUGGCUUGGAGACCUGGGCUGCACAGGCCCUAGAGAAAGCAAAGUCUUAUGAUCAUGGGGCGAUGUUUUGGGCCAGGGGAGAAGGCAGGAGGUGAGGAUUGAGCAGGAGUGAGGGAACUGGUGUCAAGGAGGUUGAUACAUUGGAGGGGUCAGAGAAGAGUCACAAGAAUGAUUUAAGGAUUAGAGAACAUGCGCUAGAGCAGAGGUGGGCAAACUUUGUAUUGUGGGCAAUAC